UGGGGAAUAUUGGGCAAUGGGCGCAAGCCUGACCCAGCAACGCCGCGUGAAGGAAGAAGGCUUUCGGGUUGUAAACUUCUUUUAAGAGGGAAGAGCAGAAGACGGUACCUCUUGAAUAAGCCACGGCUAACUACGUGCCAGCAGCCGCGGUAAUACGUAGGUGGCAAGCGUUGUCCGGAUUUACUGGGUGUAAAGGGCGUGCAGCCGGGAAGACAAGUCAGAUGUGAAAUCCCGCGGCUCAACCGCGGAACUGCAUUUGAAACUGUUUUCUUGAGUACCGGAGAGGUCAUCGGAAUUCCUUGUGUAGCGGUGAAAUGCGUAGAUAUAAGGAAGAACACCAGUGGCGAAGGCGGCUUACUGGACGGUAACUGACGUUGAGGCUCGAAAGCGUGGGGGGCCAAAUCAGGAUUAGAUACC
RNAcentral lists this ribosomal RNA (417 nucleotides) under uncultured bacterium. Its description in RNAcentral is "bacterial SSU rRNA". It matches the Rfam family "Bacterial small subunit ribosomal RNA", at positions 355 to 786 of the family's 1533-position model. The record is from RNAcentral.